RNAcentral lists this unclassified non-coding RNA (400 nucleotides) under uncultured fungus. RNAcentral describes it as "sequence contains ITS1". The stretch from base 1 to 103 matches the Rfam family "5.8S ribosomal RNA", at positions 50 to 154 of the family's 154-position model. The record is from RNAcentral. Lineage: Eukaryota; Fungi.
GAAAUGCGAUACGUAGUGUGAAUUGCAGAACCGUGAAUCAUCGAAUCUUUGAACGCAUAUUGCGCCUUUGGGUAUCCCUGGAGGCAUGCCUGUUUGAGAAUCAUUUAACUCAUCACCCCAAGGUUGGGAGUAAUCUUAACCUCGGAGUGGAUUUGGGCCUUUGCAGUCUGACUGCAUGGCCUUGAAUGCAUUGACCCGGCUAUGGUAUUAUUUUACUAAAGUCAAAGUGUUAUCAAUUAUGGCUAACGCUAUAUAUUUCACUGCGCCUUUGGUAAUCCAAGUAAUAUUAUGCGUUGGGCUCAACUAAACUAUUCUUACGAGUAGACCCUUCUUGGCUGGAAGCAGUUUGCUUCUCGUCUUGAUAUCUUGGUCUCAAAUCAGGCAAGAGUACCCGCUGAAC